GAGUGAAAGUGUCAUUUCUGUCUCCAGACUCACUCAACAAACUUCCUCUCAAAAACAAAUACAGGAACUUGUUCAACAGCAUCUUCUGUUCAGCCAGUAUGGUUCAUCAGCUCGAUUCUUCUCUGAGAGAGAUCACAGCGCCUGAUGCUGCUCUGAUAAUAGAGUUGGCAAACUUCCUGUUGGACCUUUCAAAAGAGCAAGCAUCAGGUUUUGCUGACAGAGUGAAGGAGAUCGCUGAAGAAUCAGCAUUCACUGCAACACAC
Long non-coding RNA from Megalobrama amblycephala (Wuchang bream), 263 nucleotides. RefSeq lists it as uncharacterized. Lineage: Eukaryota; Metazoa; Chordata; Actinopteri; Cypriniformes; Xenocyprididae. The record is from RefSeq and is a predicted model, not a curated record. The transcript has 3 exons.